AGUGAACGCUGGCGGUAGGCCUAACACAUACAAGUCGAACGGCAGCACAGUAAGAGCUUGCUCUUACGGGUUGCGAGUGGCGGACGGGUGAGGAAUACAUCGUAAUCUACUUUUUCGUGGGGGAUAACGUAGGUAAACUUACGCUAAUACCGCAUACGACCUACGGUUGAAAGCAGUGGAUCUUCGCACCUUGCGCGAUUGAAUGAGCCGAUGUCGGAUUAGCUAGUUGGCGGGGUAAAGGCCCACCAAGGCGACGAUCCGUAGCUGGUCUGAGAGGAUGAUCAGCCACACUGGAACUGAGACACGGUCCAGACUCCUACGGGAGGCAGCAGUGGGGAAUAUUGGACAAUGGGCGCAAGCAUGAUCCAGCCAUACCGCGUGGGUGAAGAAGGCCUUCGGGUUGUAAAGCCCUUUUGUUGGGAAAGAAAAGCAGCAGGUUAAUACCCCGCUGUUCUGACGGUACCCAAAGAAUAAGCACCGGCUAACUUCGUG
RNAcentral lists this ribosomal RNA (492 nucleotides) under uncultured bacterium. RNAcentral's name for it is "partial 16S ribosomal RNA". It matches the Rfam family "Bacterial small subunit ribosomal RNA", at positions 29 to 507 of the family's 1533-position model. The record is from RNAcentral.